CCUACGGGUGGCAGCAGUGGGGGAUAUUGCACAAUGGGGGAAACCCUGAUGCAGCGACGCCGCGUGUGGGAAGACGGUCCUCUGGAUUGUAAACCACUGUCCCCAGGGACGAAGAUGACGGUACCUGGGGAGGAAGCUCCGGCUAACUACGUGCCAGCAGCCGCGGUAAUACGUAGGGAGCGAGCGUUGUCCGGAAUGACUGGGUGGAAAGGGAGCGUAGGCGGGACUGCAAGUUGGUUGUCAAAUCUACCGGCUCAACCGGUAGCCGCACUCAAAACUGCAGUUCUUGAGUGAAGUAGAGGCAGGCGGAAUUCCUAGUGUAGCGGUGAAAUGCGUAGAUAUUAGGAGGAACACCAGUGGCGAAGGCGGCCUGCUGGGCUUUUACUGACGCUGAGGCUCGAAAGUGUGGGAGCAAACAGGAUUAGAUACCCGGGUAGUC
This 439-nucleotide ribosomal RNA is filed under the name uncultured bacterium. RNAcentral's name for it is "partial 16S ribosomal RNA". It matches the Rfam family "Bacterial small subunit ribosomal RNA", at positions 338 to 795 of the family's 1533-position model. The record is from RNAcentral.